Molecule: ribosomal RNA, 456 nt
Filed under: uncultured bacterium
Lineage: Bacteria
Description: bacterial SSU rRNA
Rfam family: Bacterial small subunit ribosomal RNA
Source: RNAcentral
AUUGAACGCUGGCGGCAUGCCUUACACAUGCAAGUCGAACGGUAACGGGCCUUCGGGUGCCGACGAGUGGCGAACGGGUGAGUAAUGUAUCGGAACGUACCUUUCAGUGGGGGAUAACGUAGCGAAAGUUACGCUAAUACCGCAUAUUCUGUGAGCAGGAAAGCAGGGGAUCGCAAGACCUUGCGCUGAUUGAGCGGCCGAUAUCAGAUUAGCUAGUUGGUGAGGUAAAGGCUCACCAAGGCGACGAUCUGUAGCGGGUCUGAGAGGAUGAUCCGCCACACUGGAACUGAGACACGGUCCAGACUCCUACGGGAGGCAGCAGUGGGGAAUAUUAGAAAUGGGCGGAAGCCUGAUCUAGCAACACCGCGUGUGCGAUGAAGGCCUUCGGGUCGUAAAGCACUUUUUGGAGGGAAUAGGAAGAAGGUACCUCCAGAAUAAGUCUCGGCUAACUACGUG